CCUACGGGUGGCAGCAGUGGGGAAUAUUGCACAAUGGGGGGAACCCUGAUGCAGCGACGCCGCGUGGGUGAGGAAGUACUUCGGUAUGUAAAGCCCUAUCAGCAGGGAAGAAAAUGACGGUACCUGACUAAGAAUCCCCGGCUAACUACGUGCCAGCAGCCGCGGUAAUACGUAGGGGGCAAGCGUUAUCCGGAUGUACUGGGUGUAAAGGGAGCGUAGACGGCGUGCCAAGUCUGAUGUGAAAGGCCGGGGCUCAACCCCGGGACUGCAUUGGAAACUGGCAUGCUGGAGUGCCGGAGGGGCAAGCGGAAUUUCUAGUGUAGGAGUGAAAUCCGUAGAGAUUAGAAGGAACACCAAUAGCGUAGGCAGGUUGCUGGGACGGUUCUGACACUAAGGCACGAAAGCGUAGGGAGCAAACGGGAUUAGAUACCCGAGUAGUC
This 440-nucleotide ribosomal RNA is filed under the name uncultured bacterium. Its description in RNAcentral is "partial 16S ribosomal RNA". It matches the Rfam family "Bacterial small subunit ribosomal RNA", at positions 338 to 795 of the family's 1533-position model. The record is from RNAcentral.